AAUGAACGCUGGCGGCAUGCCUUACACAUGCAAGUCGAACGGCAGCAUGACCUAGCUUGCUAGGUUGAUGGCGAGUGGCGAACGGGUGAGUAAUGCAUCGGAACGUGGCUUUUAGUGGGGGAUAACGUAGCGAAAGUUACGCUAAUACCGCAUAUUCUCUGAGGAGGAAAGCAGGGGACCUUCGGGCCUUGCGCUUGAAGAGCGGCCGAUGUCGGAUUAGCUAGUUGGUGAGGUAAAGGCUCACCAAGGCAACGAUCCGUAGCGGGUCUGAGAGGAUGAUCCGCCACACUGGGACUGAGACACGGCCCAGACUCCUACGGGAGGCAGCAGUGGGGAAUUUUGGACAAUGGGCGCAAGCCUGAUCCAGCCAUGCCGCGUGAGUGAAGAAGGCCUUCGGGUUGUAAAGCUCUUUCGGCUGGGAAGAAAUCGCACCCUCUAAUACAGGGUGUGGAUGACGGUACCAGCAUAAGAAGCACCGGCUAACUACGUG
Molecule: ribosomal RNA, 490 nt
Filed under: uncultured bacterium
Lineage: Bacteria
Description: partial 16S ribosomal RNA
Rfam family: Bacterial small subunit ribosomal RNA
Source: RNAcentral